UAAACAACCUAGCUAGCUAGCUACUUUCUUUGCCUUAAUUAAGUUUCAUCAUGAUAAUAUGAAAAUCCACAUUAUCACCGACUGUCCCUAGCGCAAGUGGCAAAGGACUUGGUGGUUGGUACCCGAGGUCCCAAGUUCGAAUCUUAGUUGAUUCACAUUUCCAGUUGAUUCACAUUUCCAGCUAAGUUUAUUUCUAAAUGAAAUAAAUGAAGCAGAUAACAUGCUGCCUAUCUCUUAAAAAAGAAGAAAAUUUACAUUACGCAAUUAUACC
Molecule: long non-coding RNA, 271 nt
Filed under: Ananas comosus (pineapple)
Lineage: Eukaryota; Viridiplantae; Streptophyta; Magnoliopsida; Poales; Bromeliaceae
Description: long non-coding RNA (ACOM_LNC023505)
Source: RNAcentral